Long non-coding RNA from Osmia bicornis bicornis, 4349 nucleotides. RefSeq lists it as uncharacterized. The record is from RefSeq and is a predicted model, not a curated record. NCBI's taxonomy places the organism in Eukaryota, Metazoa, Arthropoda, Insecta, Hymenoptera, Megachilidae. The transcript is spliced from 12 exons.
GUGGUGAUCAGUCUUUCCAUAAGAGAGUUAUCUUCUGAUGGCGUCAUUGUUCUCUUUAUCAACAGUCGAGGCGUUCUGGAAAGAAUAAACAGACGAUUAAUCAUCGUGAUUCAUGAAGACACCAUUUGGAUGAUGUUUAUGUACAUUGAGAAUUACAGUAUCCUCGAAAAUUAGCCAAUUCUUAGAAAUGUACUUAUGGUUACAAAAUUUAUAAUGAUUAAGAUGUACCAAAUUUGUAGCUAAUUCAUAAUGAUAAUAAUUGCGAAGACAGGUUUCGUUCGUAACUGUGCUAGUAACACGAGUAUGUCUGUGAAUAUCAAAUAUGAAGAUAUCGAAUCAGGAGAUGAUUAAGUGCCUCUUGAAAUUGUUUAAUUACAGAACUCGAUAUGAACAUCAAUUACAUGUACACCAGACAGUAUUUGAACGAACAAUACAAGCAUUCUGUAAUAUUAUCAUCGCUCUUUAUUUGGAAUGUGCAGAUGCUACGAAAAACUUGCUUCACACAGACAGUUAUUGAAUUACCACCGUGAUUACAUGAAAUCAACAUCAGCUAACACUUUAGUGUCAGAUAAGAUUAUAAUUGUGCACACGUUUUAAAAGUAGUACGUUCAUAUCAAAGGGAACAGAGAGCCAUCCCUUAUCAUGACACGUGUGUAAUUUCUAACAUGAUGAAGAUACGGAUGUUCAAGUUUCGAGGUUUGACAGAGAUGAAUACGUUUCAAAUUCCUACUGUAUAAAGUUUCUUCAGUCUACCGUAUGAUUAGAUAUGAGUCAUGCGAGACUCGAGUACAUUUGAAUGUUUGAAAUUUCAGUUAUUUUGCAAAGAAUCUUCGACAUUCCAUGCACGCCGUUCACGAUACAGAAACGUAUUCCAGGAAAGCUAGCUUUUAAAAUAAAGUUUCAUUUGAGGACUUGAACGACUGAUGGAUCAUGGUCCCAAUAUAACAAGAUUGCAUCAUCUGGGGUGAACGCAUUAAGAAUAAAAAUUUUUAAGGGCAAUGGUGCUAUGCUUAAGCGAGCUCCUUUCACGUUCGCUUUCGACGAAAACCAAGUGGCUUGAAUGAUCGUUAAAAACAGGAACAGUAAAAAGGAGAGGCAGGAAUGGAUGGUACUACGUAGUACCGGAUCUUGGGUGCAGUGAAAGUAUGUUUGCAAUGCCCCUUUGAAAAACCCAAGAGGGGAGAAAUGACUUUUGCGUUUAUCCAAGGUAAACUACAACCGUUUGAGAUAGCCAGCAAUCAAAUUGGAGUCAAAUUGAAGUUUGACUACUUAAACAACUUAAAACAUUAAUCUUCGAUCGAUAUCUCAUGUUCGAAAAAUAUAUAAUUCUGAUGUUAUCUAUAACAAGAUUAGGAAUCUACAUAUAACAAGAACUCACGUUUGGAAUGCGCCCCCUUUUUGUUGGAUCUAACGUUCAGGGAAGAAAGAAGCAAUUAUGGUUGGCAGCGAAAUGCUGUAACGUUUGACGACUGGAAGAAACUAAGAUCACUGGUUGGUCGGCCAAUGUAUCCACCACUUGUAUACGUAUUUGCGAAACCUGUUUCGUUCGACAUUAUCGUCCAAAUCUGGACGCAGAGAAUCCAGAUCGGCAAUACACUAGAUCAGAGGAUUUAAGGUUGAAAUAAGUGUGCGCUGCCUGCAGUGAAAGGGUUUAAGACAUUCGUCUUUAUUAAUCAUCGGAAGAACUUAACUCUUUGAACUCCAGAGAUGAUUCUCACUUGCUACUUUUUACUCUAAUACAUCAAUUCUACUUGGCGACUGUUUUUAACCGACUUCGAAAAAGGAGGAGGUUGCUCAAUUCGAUCAGUAUAUUUUUUUGUUUCGGUAGUUUCACUUAAUAAUACUUCACGUGUACGAUGUUUUAUACGCAUUAGACGGUACGAAUUAGACGUCCUUCAAUAUAUUGAUUAGAUAAACAGCUUUAGAUUAAUUUCGCCCUACGUAACUGUUUUUUGGGAAAUUCGUUUGCUAAAUGCCUGCGGAUUAAUCUAAACUUAUGUGACCGUUCCUUGACACAUUUGUUCGCUAAGCGCCUACGGAUUAUUCUUACAAUUAGUCGAUUUCACUAUUGCGCUAAUUCGCGCAUAUUUGUUAGACGUGUAUUUUUUGAUUCGGUACGAUUUUUUAUGCGCAUUAGACGGUGUGAAUUAGACGUUAUUCGAUACAUUGAUUAGAUAAACAUCUAUAGAUUAAUUUCAGCCUACGUGUAAUAAUAGGCCAAAUGUAGUAGAAUUCCGCUACAUUGAGUGAGAAGUGGGAAAUAAAGAACUAAAGAAAAUAGAAUAAAGAAUAGUUCACUAAUUGAUGGUAAAUGAGCAGUAGUUUUUCGACUGGAAAAAGCUACAGCUUGAAAUGAAUCAGCGACGUGACAAUCACUCUCUUCUAUUUCUCUAACGCGCCUCUGUCUAACAGUACAAUGUUUAAGAAACUAAUAUUUCGUGAGAUCUAUUACUCAUAUACAUGAUUUAUAUUAUAGGUUUAACUUUGAAGGAGAAAAAUACAUGGUUGUAAAUUAUUUAUAUCUCUACAUUUCAACAGAAUACUCUGAUUAUUUUUUGUACGAAAUACGUUCAGAAGGACUUUUCCUUGUGCAUACUUCCACUCCAGUUGCUCGGAGUUUCUUGGUGUGUUAUCUGUACAUUGGAAUGUUUUAUUGAAAACCGUGCAGUCUAUUAUUGUGCGUGUUUGAACUGUUUCAUCAACGGCAACCUAUUGCAAAAUGACUUCAAUGCAAUCAAAAGAAUUGAUUGGACGGUGAAGUUUUAACAGCUGUACAUAAUCGAUGAUUUACGAAUUCAAGCAAUAAGAUCACCACUGAAAUAUUUCACUGAGAAUACCAAGACUUUCACAGAAAAGUUGUGUAAAAAUUUUCCAAAACCAUCAAUAGCAUCACAACAUUCAGAAGAUAGAGAAGCAUAAAUCUGACCAAGCACAGAAGAUGAUUCAACUUUGCAUCAGACACACUUUAGAAGAGAACUGAUGGCAAAAAUAAAUUGUUGUGAUGCACCGAUCGCGGCGAGACACGGCACACUGAGAGUUGGAUGCGUGAAUGAAGAAUACUGUAUUGCAAGGGAGAGAGUAAGCUGAGGCGAUGGAGGAAACUUUCGUACCUGUUUAUCGGGAUUCCCUGCUAUGCGCGUGCCGUCCCUCCAACGAUUCGGGAAUCCUGAGGAUGAACAUUCACCCUGGUCACGCGUGCGGACGUGAUGUAUUCAUAAGUAGCGUGUUUCACGUGCAGCAUCUGCAUAAUGAUCGCGGCAAAAUCAACGAGAAGACCGGUAUAGGGUCAAGUUGGCUGACCGAUCAAACCGGAAAUGCGAAUGAGAUCCUCUUGUGAUGCCGUCAGCGACUUCCAACGUUAUCGAGAUAGAAUUCGGUAUUGGAGAGGUAUUCGUUGGAAGAGGUGCAAAUUGUUUCGAAGAAAUGCUUAGCAAUUUUCUUUUUAUUUUGGAAUUUACUUGAAAUGGAGGGAUGGAGGCCUUCGAGGCGAAGACAUUGGCGUAACUAAGAUUGCUCUGAAAAUACAGUAUUACCUUGAUAUCGAGAGUUACCCUCAAUCUCAAAUUCAACAUUAUUAUUUGCUUAGGAAUUGAACUCACCGACCGAUCGUAUAAUGGAAGUGCACAUAAAAAGUCGAUUGUUUUAUUUUAAGUUCCUUUAGUGUACGUCUUCUGUUAUGCGUUUAAUUAUGCAAUCUUCCAAGGUAUAUACAUUGGUAUAGUGACUAAUAGGUGACACUGUUGCAAAACACGGAAAAAUAAGAUUCACAACCAAAUGCAGCAAUUGGUGUAUGAAAUCAUCGAUGACUAUAAUUUUUUUCUGCGCACAAUUGUUUUUAUUUUAUUUUAUAUAUUCCGAUACUUCCAUGGACAAAGAAAAUAGUACAUAUGGUGGACUAUUGUAAAAGAUUAUUGAAUAGGUAAUCGGUAAUGGAAGAUAUCAAUUCGUUCAAAUUGUCUUCGCCUACGACAUGGAUCAUUAAUUCUAUGCUGGUACCGUGAUCUGACGCGCAAAGAAACAUUUUUAUUGUCAUUAGUACAGGCUGCGCAAAUGCAUAGGAAUUUUGCUGCUAGAGGUCAUCGUACAAGGAAGUGAACGGAAACUCGAUCUUGCAAUGAACUCGAUAGAAGUUGCAUUCGCGAAAGAGGACAGAGAAAGCAGAAAGCAGAAGUAUUACGCGAUCGUUGCACAAACGGAAGAGAGACAUUAUUGAAUCGGAAAAGAAAAAGACAGCAAAUUGCUUUGAUAUAUUACCGAUACCAGAUGAAGAUUUCAUUAUGAAGCCUUUGGUGGCGUCACAUGUUAAUUAUAAAUUAAUUGCAGAAUAAAUCACAUCUAAAAAGACACAA